This 420-nucleotide ribosomal RNA is filed under the name uncultured Frigoribacterium sp. RNAcentral's name for it is "bacterial SSU rRNA". It matches the Rfam family "Bacterial small subunit ribosomal RNA", at positions 358 to 790 of the family's 1533-position model. The record is from RNAcentral. Lineage: Bacteria; Bacillati; Actinomycetota; Actinomycetes; Micrococcales; Microbacteriaceae.
GGAAUAUUGCACAAUGGGCGAAAGCCUGAUGCAGCAACGCCGCGUGAGGGAUGACGGCCUUCGGGUUGUAAACCUCUUUUAGUAGGGAAGAAGCGAAAGUGACGGUACCUGCAGAAAAAGCACCGGCUAACUACGUGCCAGCAGCCGCGGUAAUACGUAGGGUGCAAGCGUUGUCCGGAAUUAUUGGGCGUAAAGAGCUCGUAGGCGGUUUGUCGCGUCUGCUGUGAAAUCUGGGGGCUCAACCCCCAGCCUGCAGUGGGUACGGGCAGACUAGAGUGCGGUAGGGGAGAUUGGAAUUCCUGGUGUAGCGGUGGAAUGCGCAGAUAUCAGGAGGAACACCGAUGGCGAAGGCAGAUCUCUGGGCCGUAACUGACGCUGAGGAGCGAAAGCAUGGGGAGCGAACAGGAUUAGAUACCCGAG